This 490-nucleotide ribosomal RNA is filed under the name uncultured bacterium. RNAcentral describes it as "partial 16S ribosomal RNA". It matches the Rfam family "Bacterial small subunit ribosomal RNA", at positions 30 to 507 of the family's 1533-position model. The record is from RNAcentral.
AUCGAACGCUGGCGGCAGGCCUAACACAUGCAAGUCGAACGGUAACUUCAAGAAUCUUGCUUCUUUGCUGACUAGUGGCGGGCGGGUUAGUAAUGUCUGGGAAACUGCCUGAUGGAGGGGGAUAACUACUGGAAACGUUAGCUAAUACCGCAUAACGUCGCAAUACCAAAGAGGGGGACCUUCGGUCCCCUUUCCAUCGGAUGUGCCCCGAUGGGAUCAGCUAGUAGGUGGUGUAACGGCUCACCUAGGCGACGAUCCCUAGCUGGUCUGAGAGAGUGACUAGACAGAUGGGAUGAGAGGAAGGGCACAGACUCCGAGAGUGAGACGCAGUGGAGAAUAUUGCACGAGGGGGGAGAGCCGAAUGCAGGCAUGCCGGGUGAAUGAAGAAGCACUAAGGCUUGUAAAGUGAUUAAAGCGGGGAGGAAGGAAGGAAAUUUAAUACGUGUGCACAUUGACGUUACCGGCAGAAUAAGCACCGGCUAACUCCGUG